GAGCACGCCGCGUGGAGGAUGAAGGCCGUAAGGUUGUAAACUCCUGUUAGAGGGGAAGAACACUACCGAUUGGAUCGGUAUUUGACUGUACCCUCAGAGAAAGCCCCGGCUAACUACGUGCCAGCAGCCGCGGUAAUCGAAAUAU
RNAcentral lists this ribosomal RNA (145 nucleotides) under uncultured bacterium. RNAcentral describes it as "partial 16S ribosomal RNA". It matches the Rfam family "Bacterial small subunit ribosomal RNA", at positions 389 to 533 of the family's 1533-position model. The record is from RNAcentral.